RNAcentral lists this transfer RNA (73 nucleotides) under Pseudomonas anguilliseptica. RNAcentral's name for it is "tRNA_Phe_GAA". It matches the Rfam family "tRNA". From Rfam's summary of the family: Transfer RNA (tRNA) molecules are approximately 80 nucleotides in length. Their secondary structure includes four short double-helical elements and three loops (D, anti-codon, and T loops). RNAcentral also lists the same sequence under 3 other names. Lineage: Bacteria; Pseudomonadati; Pseudomonadota; Gammaproteobacteria; Pseudomonadales; Pseudomonadaceae. The record is from RNAcentral.
GCCCGGGUAGCUCAGUCGGUAGAGCAGGGGAUUGAAAAUCCCCGUGUCGGCGGUUCGAUUCCGUCCCCGGGCA